UUCUUCUCCCCACGCCCCACCGCUUCUCUCUGUUUCUCGAAGAAACAGAGAGAGCGUGGGAGGCGGUGGGAUAAAACCGAAGUUUUCGAUUUUCUUUAUUUUCUUCUUUUUACAACUUAACAGUUUAGUCCUUGAAAUUUCCAUAUUUACAUAUAGGUCCUUCGAUUUAUAAAUAAAUCUUUAUUAAUAAUUUUCAAAAGUGAGGGAUAUUACA
This 214-nucleotide long non-coding RNA is filed under the name Musa acuminata (dwarf banana). RNAcentral describes it as "long non-coding RNA (MACU_LNC009082)". Lineage: Eukaryota; Viridiplantae; Streptophyta; Magnoliopsida; Zingiberales; Musaceae. The record is from RNAcentral.